Molecule: ribosomal RNA, 371 nt
Filed under: Pinctada albina
Lineage: Eukaryota; Metazoa; Mollusca; Bivalvia; Pterioida; Pteriidae
Description: partial 12S rRNA
Rfam family: Bacterial small subunit ribosomal RNA
Source: RNAcentral
CGUUACUCUAGGUGUCAAUUAAAAACUGGGGACUACGAACGUAUGUUUAAAACCGUAAGAUCUUGGCGGUGUGGUGUGACCAGGCAGGGGAACUUGACGCUUAAUUCGAUGAUCCGCGUUUAAUCUCAUCUUUCCUGGUAAAAUCAGGGGUAUAUCGCCGUUAAAGGGCAUAACGAAAUAGGAUAAAAAUGGCUUGCAAUUGGUUGACACCAGCAUAUUCAGGUAAGACGCCCCCAAUGGAAAGAGGUUAGUUGAGUUACUAAAUAAUAGAUGUUUUGGAGGUCGCUAAGGCAGGUCAGGCCGAAAUAGGACUUGCUAGUAAGUAGAGAUUAAAACGCUCUGCUGAAUAGAGAAAUGCCAUGCGUACAAAU